Molecule: long non-coding RNA, 723 nt
Filed under: Danio rerio (zebrafish)
Lineage: Eukaryota; Metazoa; Chordata; Actinopteri; Cypriniformes; Danionidae
Description: si:cabz01070527.3 (ENSDARG00000104600.3)
Source: RNAcentral
UGGCGUCACUGUCUCCGUUCGGUCACACACUGUGUGCUUGAAGUUUGGACUUGCUAUUUACUCGCAAUUUAAAUCUUAAUCAUUAAGUUCUUCCUCAUUCGCUACGUAUUUGUCUCUCCUACUUAGGGUGACCAAACCCUUAAUACAUUUAUACAAACAAAACUGCUUUAAAAACGGAGAAGCAUCGAUGGAGGCGUUGGAGCUGGAGCUGGAAGAAGUGGAGUCCCAGAUCCGCGCGCUGGUGGUAAGACGGUCGCGGCUACGGGAACGGCUUCUAGCCGUACCUCAUGCUAAGGCCGUCUCAUCACCUAAGGUACGUGGAAAUUACAACCACAUCAUUCCCUCUACCUCAACCCCGCGUCCUUCUCUGUCCAGGCCCAGCGCACCCGGGGCGCGGCUCAGCCAGGCGUCGUUCACGCCGACACCCGGCUACCACGGCGCCUGGGUGCAGCCGCGCAAGGUGCUUCCCAGAUCCCGGGGCAGAACGUCUCCGCCUGUGUUCGAGAUCUCCACGGAGAACCGCUUCUCCCCGCUCCGCGAGUCGGGUCCGAUGUGGCCAUCAUCGGUGACUCGAUCGUUCGUCACGUCCGUGCCGCCUCCUCAAAAGAUUCCAACCAUCCUGGGCGCUGCCGAGAGCCCUGGUGCCGUUGUCCUCCACGUGGGGACAAACGACACCGGGCUCCGGCAGUCGGAGAUCCUGAAGAAGGACUUCAGGAGCCUGAU